Molecule: ribosomal RNA, 1463 nt
Filed under: Klebsiella pneumoniae
Lineage: Bacteria; Pseudomonadati; Pseudomonadota; Gammaproteobacteria; Enterobacterales; Enterobacteriaceae
Description: bacterial SSU rRNA
Rfam family: Bacterial small subunit ribosomal RNA
Source: RNAcentral
CAGAUUGAACGCUGGCGGCAGGCCUAACACAUGCAAGUCGAGCGGUAGCACAGAGAGCUUGCUCUCGGGUGACGAGCGGCGGACGGGUGAGUAAUGUCUGGGAAACUGCCUGAUGGAGGGGGAUAACUACUGGAAACGGUAGCUAAUACCGCAUAAUGUCGCAAGACCAAAGUGGGGGACCUUCGGGCCUCAUGCCAUCAGAUGUGCCCAGAUGGGAUUAGCUAGUAGGUGGGGUAACGGCUCACCUAGGCGACGAUCCCUAGCUGGUCUGAGAGGAUGACCAGCCACACUGGAACUGAGACACGGUCCAGACUCCUACGGGAGGCAGCAGUGGGGAAUAUUGCACAAUGGGCGCAAGCCUGAUGCAGCCAUGCCGCGUGUGUGAAGAAGGCCUUCGGGUUGUAAAGCACUUUCAGCGGGGAGGAAGGCGGUAAGGUUAAUAACCUUGUCGAUUGACGUUACCCGCAGAAGAAGCACCGGCUAACUCCGUGCCAGCAGCCGCGGUAAUACGGAGGGUGCAAGCGUUAAUCGGAAUUACUGGGCGUAAAGCGCACGCAGGCGGUCUGUCAAGUCGGAUGUGAAAUCCCCGGGCUCAACCUGGGAACUGCAUUCGAAACUGGCAGGCUAGAGUCUUGUAGAGGGGGGUAGAAUUCCAGGUGUAGCGGUGAAAUGCGUAGAGAUCUGGAGGAAUACCGGUGGCGAAGGCGGCCCCCUGGACAAAGACUGACGCUCAGGUGCGAAAGCGUGGGGAGCAAACAGGAUUAGAUACCCUGGUAGUCCACGCCGUAAACGAUGUCGAUUUGGAGGUUGUGCCCUUGAGGCGUGGCUUCCGGAGCUAACGCGUUAAAUCGACCGCCUGGGGAGUACGGCCGCAAGGUUAAAACUCAAAUGAAUUGACGGGGGCCCGCACAAGCGGUGGAGCAUGUGGUUUAAUUCGAUGCAACGCGAAGAACCUUACCUGGUCUUGACAUCCACAGAACUUACCAGAGAUGCUUUGGUGCCUUCGGGAACUGUGAGACAGGUGCUGCAUGGCUGUCGUCAGCUCGUGUUGUGAAAUGUUGGGUUAAGUCCCGCAACGAGCGCAACCCUUAUCCUUUGUUGCCAGCGGUCCGGCCGGGAACUCAAAGGAGACUGCCAGUGAUAAACUGGAGGAAGGUGGGGAUGACGUCAAGUCAUCAUGGCCCUUACGACCAGGGCUACACACGUGCUACAAUGGCAUAUACAAAGAGAAGCGACCUCGCGAGAGCAAGCGGACCUCAUAAAGUAUGUCGUAGUCCGGAUUGGAGUCUGCAACUCGACUCCAUGAAGUCGGAAUCGCUAGUAAUCGUAGAUCAGAAUGCUACGGUGAAUACGUUCCCGGGCCUUGUACACACCGCCCGUCACACCAUGGGGAGUGGGUUGCAAAAGAAGUAGGUAGCUUAACCUUCGGGAGGGCGCUUACCACUUUGUGAUUCAUGACUGGG